GCAAUUAGAUACACGCGUGUCGUAUAAGCGGUAAUAAAAACGCCGAUACGUGGCGCGUUUGAUUUACGAGGGGAAAACCGCACUGUAAAUUAUAGCCGGAGUUGUAAAAACCGGGAGUUAUAAAUUUCCAUCAGGAGUGCAAAAUCGUCCCGCGAACAUUAGGAUCCAAUUAGAACGAUAACGAGCAAUAUACGACCGUCACGUUUCUCCUUUAAAAUAAAAUCGCGCGUUCUUUGCAGUCCAUGCAUUUCGUAUGCCACUAUAAGAAAGAGAGAUAGAAAGAGAGAGAGAGAGAGAAACGUUAGUUUCACGAAGUACUUAAUACUGACGUAAAAACAGUCUACAUAGAGUCGGUGAACUAGGCGUGUUAAAUUGUGAAAGUCAUCGCGUAAUGGCUAAGUAAUUAAAUAAAAUCAAUCUGAAACAAAAUCUGAAGACGAAACUUCAUUGCUUAACUUCAUUAUUCAUAACUUAAAUUUCUUCCUAAAGGCUUCUUCAUUAUAGAAAAGAAAUUAUCAGACUAAGGAUUGAAGGGAAAGGUCAAAAAACUUUCGUACAGCCCUGAAUCGUCUCAUUGACGGCUCCUUUAUGCGAUGGGAUUUCGUCAAUGAAACUAAGGUACCGCUGAGCGCAUCGAAUGAACCUAAUAUCGUGCGGUCGUCAUCGUUGAUUGCGUCUCUUUACGAAGGAAUGAAUGAGGAAGAAGACAAAAAAGAAGAGGCGGGGAGAGAGAGAGAGAGAGAGAGAAAAGAGACAACGUUAUAACUUCGAGUGACUCACCGUUUGUCAAACCGUCGACGUCGUCCGAGUCGCACUUGAGACCUUAACAUACGAAAGAUUCCAAGCAUCCAACACUGAACACCAAGCUGGUCUAUUCAUACAAGGUUUUUCAC
Molecule: long non-coding RNA, 893 nt
Organism: Wasmannia auropunctata (little fire ant)
Lineage: Eukaryota; Metazoa; Arthropoda; Insecta; Hymenoptera; Formicidae
Exons: 3
Source: RefSeq, a predicted model, not a curated record